Molecule: long non-coding RNA, 1097 nt
Filed under: Physcomitrium patens
Lineage: Eukaryota; Viridiplantae; Streptophyta; Bryopsida; Funariales; Funariaceae
Description: long non-coding RNA (PPAT_LNC006056)
Source: RNAcentral
GGCAGAGGCUGAGGUAGCCAGCCUUAUGUGUGUGUGUACAAAUGGUACCGUGUUGUGCUACAAGCAGUUCCAGCAUAAUGGCUUUGCUCUAGCAAUUCAUCAAGUGUACUUACAUUUGAAGAGCUAGAGAGGACACACAAAUUCAGGUACUACGCAUAACACUACUACGCAUCAAGCAUUCCCCUUCUUCACUAUUUCUGGACUUCGAAAACUGCAAAGAUUGAAGAGUCACUUUUCGGUUUUAAUGUCCCAUGGUACUGCUUGAUUAGCUCAAGCAAGGCUUGAACAUUCUGGUAGGAAUUCUCCCCUGGUUCACAUUGGAGUGAAAAAUAGAAACUUCUGCUUAAUCCCUCACACAUCUCUCGGAUUUAAUCUACUUUACAUUAAUGGGUCUCACCCAUUUUACUUUGUGCUUGAAAUUACUGGAGCACCUGGGUUGUGCUUAGAAGAUACUUUAUUGUUGUUUAUCCAAUAAAGUAGAACCAACCAGCUGUCAUAUAUCCAAAGGGGUUUCUUGUACUGAAGGGAGCUAACAAUACAGUCCUUAACAGGGCAGUACUAUAUCUUGUUGCAUACAGGACUCUCAUCAUUUGCUCCUGGUGCACCCACAGUUGAUUUCCAGGGUUUGGCUUCAGCCCACCUUUCCAACAUUUCUAGGACUACAUGUGAUAAUACCACUACUACCCUGCAUUAGCUCAUCAGGUAACCUACUCAUCUACAAAGACAGAAUCAGUUAGUGACCCAAAACAUAUAGAAAAAAUAAUAUUAUUAUUAUUAAAAAAAACCUACAUUUGCUUGCACAAGUAGUAUGUGAUAAUGCACCUAUUGUUUCAGUCGCUUUCCUUUUUUUCAUAGAACUGCUGUCAUUUACUCUCCAUCUCAGAUAUAUGAUGAGUGGACUGAUCACAUUAAAAAGUCAUACUUACAACCCAUUUUUUUCUGUCUGCUCAGGUUGCCAUUGGAGUUGUGUGGAUGGCACAGUAAGGUGGGGUCCAGAGUAUGAUGAAAGACCUUAAUGGCACUGAUGCCCCCAUUCUCCACCUGUUUUGAAGAUGAUAUUAAAAAUAAAUAAAAUAAUAAAAAUAAUAUAAUGGUCU